Molecule: ribosomal RNA, 460 nt
Filed under: uncultured bacterium
Lineage: Bacteria
Description: partial 16S ribosomal RNA
Rfam family: Bacterial small subunit ribosomal RNA
Source: RNAcentral
CCUACGGGUGGCAGCAGUGAGGAAUAUUGGUCAAUGGGCUUACGCCUGAACCAGCCAAGUCGCGUGAGGGAAGACUGCCCUAUGGGUUGUAAACUUCUUUUAUAAAGGAAUAAAACGAGGCACGUGUGCCUUUUUGCAUGUACUUUAUGAAUAAGGAUCGGCUAACUCCGUGCCAGCAGCCGCGGUAAUACGGAGGAUCCGAGCGUUAUCCGGAUUUAUUGGGUUUAAAGGGAGCGUAGAUGGGUUGUUAAGUCAGUUGUGAAAGUUUGCGGCUCAACCGUAAAAUUGCAAUUGAUACUGGCAGUCUUGAGUACAGUUGAGGUAGGCGGAAUUCGUGGUGUAGCGGUGAAGUGCUUAGAUAUCACGAAGAACCCCGAUUGCGAAGGCAGCUUACUAAACUGUGACUGACAUUGAUGCUCGAAAGUGUGGGUAUCAAACAGGAUUAGAUACCCGUGUAGUC